Molecule: transfer RNA, 58 nt
Filed under: Salmo salar (Atlantic salmon)
Lineage: Eukaryota; Metazoa; Chordata; Actinopteri; Salmoniformes; Salmonidae
Rfam family: tRNA
About the family: Transfer RNA (tRNA) molecules are approximately 80 nucleotides in length. Their secondary structure includes four short double-helical elements and three loops (D, anti-codon, and T loops). Further hydrogen bonds mediate the characteristic L-shaped molecular structure. tRNAs have two regions of fundamental functional importance: the anti-codon, which is responsible for specific mRNA codon recognition, and the 3' end, to which the tRNAs corresponding amino acid is attached (by aminoacyl-tRNA synthetases). tRNAs cope with the degeneracy of the genetic code in two manners: having more than one tRNA (with a specific anti-codon) for a particular amino acid; and 'wobble' base-pairing, i.e. permitting non-standard base-pairing at the 3rd anti-codon position.
Source: Rfam by way of RNAcentral
UGGCUCCGUUGGUAGAGCAUGGUGUUUGCAAUGCCAGGGUUGUGGGUUUGAUUCCCAC